UGUUUCGGCAAGGGGGUCAUCCCGACUUACCAACCCGAUGCAAACUGCGAAUACCGGAGAAUGUUAUCACGGGAGACACACGGCGGGUGCUAACGUCCGUCGUGAAGAGGGAAACAACCCAGACCGCCAGCUAAGGUCCCAAAGUCAUGGUUAAGUGGGAAACGAUGUGGGAAGGCCCAGACAGCCAGGAUGUUGGCUUAGAAGCAGCCAUCAUUUAAAGAAAGCGUAAUAGCUCACUGGUCGAGUCGGCCUGCGCGGAAGAUGUAACGGGGCUAAACCAUGCACCGAAGCUGCGGCAGCGACGCUUAUGCGUUGUUGGGUAGGGGAGCGUUCUGUAAGCCUGUGAAGGUGUGCUGUGAGGCAUGCUGGAGGUAUCAGAAGUGCGAAUGCUGACAUAAGUAACGAUAAAGCGGGUGAAAAGCCCGCUCGCCGGAAGACCAAGGGUUCCUGUCCAACGUUAAUCGGGGCAGGGUGAGUCGACCCCUAAGGCGAGGCCGAAAGGCGUAGUCGAUGGGAAACAGGUUAAUAUUCCUGUACUUGGUGUUACUGCGAAGGGGGGACGGAGAAGGCUAUGUUGGCCGGGCGACGGUUGUCCCGGUUUAAGCGUGUAGGCUGGUUUUCCAGGCAAAUCCGGAAAAUCAAGGCUGAGGCGUGAUGACGAGGCACUACGGUGCUGAAGCAACAAAUGCCCUGCUUCCAGGAAAAGCCUC
Molecule: ribosomal RNA, 710 nt
Filed under: Escherichia coli
Lineage: Bacteria; Pseudomonadati; Pseudomonadota; Gammaproteobacteria; Enterobacterales; Enterobacteriaceae
Description: partial 23S ribosomal RNA
Rfam family: Bacterial large subunit ribosomal RNA
Source: RNAcentral